Long non-coding RNA from Amphiprion ocellaris (clown anemonefish), 317 nucleotides. RefSeq lists it as uncharacterized. NCBI's taxonomy places the organism in Eukaryota, Metazoa, Chordata, Actinopteri, Pomacentridae. The record is from RefSeq and is a predicted model, not a curated record. The transcript is spliced from 3 exons.
ACAAGGUGAGGAUGACAGAGAACGAUACAAAUGUUAACAUGGUUUUGCUGGAUGAUAAUAUUUCUGCCAAAUCAUGACUGAUUACAAUGUUUUUCUUGGUUUUGUUUAAUAGCAGGAAGAUACACAAAUUCAAGCAUUUUCAUAGUGGAAAAUGAAGAAGAAUCAUCAGAACCAAUACCACCAGAACACAUCUGCCUGAAAACCCAGAGCAGCCCUAAGGAGACGGUGCUGACUGAAGAUGUCGACUAAAAGACAAAGUCACCACAGUUUAAGAUCUGACUUGAGUUUAAUCCAUUAUAAAUAGCACUCAAAGCAAC